Molecule: ribosomal RNA, 429 nt
Filed under: Gemmatimonadota bacterium
Lineage: Bacteria; Pseudomonadati; Gemmatimonadota
Description: Gemmatimonadetes bacterium partial 16S ribosomal RNA
Rfam family: Bacterial small subunit ribosomal RNA
Source: RNAcentral
UAGGGAAUCUUCGGCAAUUGACGAAAGUCUGACCGAGCAACGCCGCGUGAGUGAAGAAGGUUUUCGGAUCGUAAAACUCUGUUGUUAGAGAAGAACAAGGACGUUAGUAACUGAACGUCCCCUGACGGUAUCUAACCAGAAAGCCACGGCUAACUACGUGCCAGCAGCCGCGGUAAUACGUAGGUGGCAAGCGUUGUCCGGAUUUAUUGGGCGUAAAGCGAGCGCAGGCGGUUUCUUAAGUCUGAUGUGAAAGCCCCCGGCUCAACCGGGGAGGGUCAUUGGAAACUGGGAGACUUGAGUGCAGAAGAGGAGAGUGGAAUUCCAUAUGUAGCGGUGAAAUGCGUAGAUAUAUGGAGGAACACCAGUGGCGAAGGCGGCUCUCUGGUCUGUAACUGACGCUGAGGCUCGAAAGCGUGGGGAGCAAACAGG